AGCCGGGUCGGGCUGAGGGCAGCGUCCAGGGCGGCCUGCAGCGCGGCCGCGGUGGGCACGAACAGCUGGUCCGGGAUCAUGAGCCGGUCCCCGCUUC
This 97-nucleotide transfer RNA is filed under the name Hydrogenophaga pseudoflava. Its description in RNAcentral is "tRNA-Cys". Lineage: Bacteria; Pseudomonadati; Pseudomonadota; Betaproteobacteria; Burkholderiales; Comamonadaceae. The record is from RNAcentral.